Molecule: transfer RNA, 89 nt
Filed under: Lactobacillus sp.
Lineage: Bacteria; Bacillati; Bacillota; Bacilli; Lactobacillales; Lactobacillaceae
Description: tRNA-Leu
Rfam family: tRNA
About the family: Transfer RNA (tRNA) molecules are approximately 80 nucleotides in length. Their secondary structure includes four short double-helical elements and three loops (D, anti-codon, and T loops).
Source: RNAcentral
GCGGGUAUGGCGGAAUUGGCAGACGCGCAAGACUAAGGAUCUUGUGGAGGGUUUCCUCCGUGGAAGUUCGAAUCUUCUUACCCGCAUCA